AUUUUUCAAAAAUUCUUUUUUUUCCUUAAACAUCCUAGACCCCCAGUAAAACUCAACAAAGGAUGAUUGAUGCUGCUGAGUCGUGUACUAUGAGGUCAUACUGCUGUGCAACCAUCAUGAUAGGGACCAACACCUUAAUUCUCUGGAAGUAG
Hibiscus syriacus is the source of this 152-nucleotide long non-coding RNA. RefSeq lists it as uncharacterized. The record is from RefSeq and is a predicted model, not a curated record. The transcript is spliced from 3 exons. NCBI's taxonomy places the organism in Eukaryota, Viridiplantae, Streptophyta, Magnoliopsida, Malvales, Malvaceae.